UGCCAGCAAUCGCGGUUAUACAAUUGAAGAUUUUGAAUUUUUUUGGAUUAUAUUAAAUAUACUUAUAUUUGUUUAUUUUUAUUAUUUUUUGGUGAAAUAUUAAUAAUAAUUAUGUCAUAUUAUAUUAUAUAUGAAAUUCCUUAUUAGACUAGGAUUAGAUACCCUAUUAUUUGGAGUGUAAAUUUAUAUCCUAAAGAUUAUUAGUUAUGAUCUUGAAAUUUAAAGGAUUUGGCGGUAAUUUAUCUUUUCAGAGGGGCCUGUCCCUUAAUUGAUAAUCCACAAUAAAUUUUACCUUUAUUAAUUAGGCUUAUAUACCUCUAUCAUUGAAUGUUUUUAUAAAAUUAUUUUCUAGGGGAAUUUUAAUUCUAAAUGUUAGGUCAAGGUUUAGCAAUAUAAAGGUGGAGAUGGGUCACAUUAUUAGCAUAUUUGGAUAUAAUAUGGAAAUAUAUUUGAAACUGGAUUUGAUAGUAAAAUUUAUUAUAAAGUAAAUUUGAUUUUAGCUCUAAGUUAUGCACACAUCGCCCGUCGCUCUCAAUAUAUGUUGAGAUAAGUCGUAACAAAGUAAAUUUAUUGGAAAAUGAAUUUAGAAUUU
This 592-nucleotide ribosomal RNA is filed under the name Trigonotylus caelestialium. RNAcentral's name for it is "partial 12S ribosomal RNA". Lineage: Eukaryota; Metazoa; Arthropoda; Insecta; Hemiptera; Miridae. The record is from RNAcentral.